RNAcentral lists this ribosomal RNA (447 nucleotides) under uncultured bacterium. RNAcentral's name for it is "bacterial SSU rRNA". It matches the Rfam family "Bacterial small subunit ribosomal RNA", at positions 355 to 825 of the family's 1533-position model. The record is from RNAcentral.
UCGGGAAUUUUGGGCAAUGGGCGAAAGCCUGACCCAGCAACGCCGCGUGAAGGAUGAAGUAUUUCGGUAUGUAAACUUCGAAAGAAUAGGAAGAAUAAAUGACGGUACUAUUUAUAAGGUCCGGCUAACUACGUGCCAGCAGCCGCGGUAAUACGUAGGGACCAAGCGUUGUUCGGAUUUACUGGGCGUAAAGGGCGCGUAGGCGGCAAUUCAAGUCAUCUGUGAAAUCUCCGGGCUUAACUCGGAACGGUCAGGUGAUACUGCUUUGCUAGAGUGCAGAAGGGGCAAUCGGAAUUCUUGGUGUAGCGGUGAAAUGCGUAGAUAUGUGGAGGAAUACCGAUGGCGAAGGCAGCCCCCUGGGAUAACACUGACGCUCAUGCACGAAAGCGUGGGGAGCAAACAGGAUUAGAUACCCCAGUAGUCCCUGAGCGGGCUGGCAAGGCGCAU